UUCCGGUUGAUCCCGCCGGACCCCACUGCUAUCGGGAUAGGACUAAGACAUGCUAGUCGUGUGCCUCAGCCAAAACGAGGCACGGCGCACAGCUCAGUAACACGUGGCUAACCUGCCCUUAGGACGAGAAUAACCCCGGGAAACUGGGGCUAAUGCUCGAUAGGUGAAGAACUCUGGAAUGAGUCUUCGCUUAAAAGAGUCUGCGUUAUGCUCGUAGAUUUCGCUUAAGGAUGGGGCCGCGACCGAUCAGGUUGUUGGUGAGGUAAUGGCUCACCAAGCCUUUUACCGGUGCGGGCCGUGAGAGCGGGAGCCCGGAGAUGGGCACUGAGACAAGGGCCCAGGCCCUACGGGGCGCAGCAGUCGCGAAAACUUUGCAAUACACGAAAGUGUGACAGGGCUAUCCCGAGUGCCAUCCGCUGAGGAAGGCUUUUACCCAGUCUAGAACGCUGGGGGAAUAAGGAGAGGGCAAGUCUGGUGUCAGCCGCCGCGGUAAUACCAGCUCUCCGAGUGGUGUGGAUGUUUAUUGGGCCUAAAGCAUCCGUAGCUGGCUAAGUUAGUCCCCUGUUAAAUCCAACGAAUUAAUCGUUGGAUCGCGGGGGAUACUGCUUGGCUAGGGGACGAGAGAGGCAGACGGUAUUUCCGGGGUAGGGGUGAAAUCCUAUAAUCCCGGGAAGACCACCAGUGGCGAAGGCUGUCUGCUAGAACGCGCCCGACGGUGAGGGAUGAAAGCUGGGGGAGCGAACCGGAUUAGAUACCCGGGUAGUCCCAGCUGUAAACGAUGCAGGCUAGGUGUUUGGACGGCCACGUGCCGUUCUAGUGCCGCAGGGAAGCUGUUAAGCCUGCCGCCUGGGGAGUACGAUCGCAAGAUUGAAACUUAAAGGAAUUGGCGGGGGAGCACCACAAGGGGUGAAGCUUGCGGUUUAAUUGGAUUCAACGCCGGA
RNAcentral lists this ribosomal RNA (941 nucleotides) under uncultured crenarchaeote. RNAcentral describes it as "bacterial SSU rRNA". It matches the Rfam family "Archaeal small subunit ribosomal RNA", at positions 1 to 922 of the family's 1478-position model. Lineage: Archaea; Thermoproteati; Thermoproteota. The record is from RNAcentral.